Long non-coding RNA from Gavialis gangeticus (Gharial), 978 nucleotides. RefSeq lists it as uncharacterized. NCBI's taxonomy places the organism in Eukaryota, Metazoa, Chordata, Crocodylia, Gavialidae. The record is from RefSeq and is a predicted model, not a curated record. The transcript has 3 exons.
UCUAACAUUACCCAAGGGAAACAUGUACAAGUGCAGGAGUGGCAGGGAGCUGGGGACAGCAUUGCUAACAAACCUAUUGAGGGAGAAUGGUUAACAACUACUGAUGAUUUUACUAGCUGGCCACAUGCAAUAAGGCUGAGCUAUUUUUUUUUUCUUUAUUCUGAUGAAUUAUGCCAAGCCUGUAAUGAUGUAGAAGAAAUCAAGCUUCGCAAGGCUGAGACUGCUGCCUUGGGGCAAUUUCAGAAAUUGGAUGAAAUCAUGAAGGCUUGUGCUAAGCAUCUAAAAUUGCAACUUCCAGCCAAGGAUAAUGUGGUUCACUGCAUUAAGGAUGAUCUUAAUAAAACCGUGUGUGGCAGACAUGUUAGUAGAUAAGGUUUUAUUCAUCUCUUGCUUUCCCACUUACUCCAUUGAGAUAAAUUGGUUUAGAUGAAGGGAAACUAAGUUCACCAACUUCCUAUCCUGAUCCUUGUUUCCUGUUGAAAAGAGGAUGUUCCCUUAGGAUGGAAAGCGUAUGAUGAACCAUAGAUGAACUAUACAGACCAUUUCAGGUCAGCAUAUGAUUAACCAGAGAUGAACCAUACAGACCAUUUCAGGUCAAAUUCUUGUUCCUUUUCAUCAACAUAGAAAAAACAGGUUUGAACCAUCAAACCCUAAGCUUUACUACUGAGUUAAUGUAGAUUAUUCAAAGUCUGUUUGAUUGGUAGUGGGAAACAGUAAAAAUAUCAGGCUGUUAAGUCAAUAGGGCUGAGUAAUUUGUGUCUGUGAUUCUGAUUUUAUAUCAUCCUUUAAUCAGAAAUUAUAAACUGAAUCUUGAUUUCUUCUUAAAACUGGCAUGGGUGGAGGGCGCACUCCAAGCAACUUUGUAAAGUUUAUUCUUCUACUUAUGUAUGUUUCUGCUUGUUACCUCUGCUAUACGUAAGGAAUUUUGUUACUGAUCAGAGAGCAAGGAAGGGAAAUGUACAUAAAAAAAAAAACCCA